RNAcentral lists this ribosomal RNA (253 nucleotides) under uncultured bacterium. RNAcentral describes it as "partial 16S ribosomal RNA". It matches the Rfam family "Bacterial small subunit ribosomal RNA", at positions 524 to 776 of the family's 1533-position model. The record is from RNAcentral.
UACGUAGGGUGCAAGCGUUAAUCGGAAUUACUGGGCGUAAAGCGCACGUAGGCGGUUCGUUAAGCCAGCUGUGAAAUCCCCGGGCUCAACCUGGGAAUUGCAGUUGGAACUGGCGGGCUAGAGUACAGUAGAGGGGUGUGGAAUUUCAGGUGUAGCGGUGAAAUGCGUAGAUAUCUGAAGGAACAUCAGUGGCGAAGGCGACACCCUGGACUGAUACUGACGCUGAGGUGCGAAAGCGUGGGGAGCAAACAGG